UUUGAAACGUACUCGUUGAUUAUACCCAUUCUUUUUAUUUGUUGGUUGCUUGUAACCAAUAUCAACCUCUUCUUCAUCUCUAUAUAUUCUUGCAUCAAUAGCAUGAUUCAUUCCAAUUUCGCCCAUUAUUUGCCUCUUUCGCUUAAUGCUGUCAAUGAUAACAUCAUGAAACUCCUUCUUUGCAAUUUUCAAGACUUCUUUCAAUGUGAAUUCCACCUUAGCAUUUAAUAUACGUUCUUCCAACACCCCUUU
This 252-nucleotide long non-coding RNA is filed under the name Physcomitrium patens. Its description in RNAcentral is "long non-coding RNA (PPAT_LNC003027)". Lineage: Eukaryota; Viridiplantae; Streptophyta; Bryopsida; Funariales; Funariaceae. The record is from RNAcentral.